UACGAAGGGUGCUAGCGUUGUUCGGAUUUACUGGGCGUAAAGCGCAUGUAGGCGGGUCGUUAAGUUGGGGGUGAAAUCCCGAGGCUCAACCUCGGAACUGCCUUCAAAACUGGCGACCUGGAGCAAGAUAGAGGCAAGUGGAAUUGCGAGUGUAGAGGUGAAAUUCGUAGAUAUUCGCAGGAACACCAGUGGCGAAGGCGACUUGCUGGAUCGUUGCUGACGCUGAGAUGCGAAAGCGUGGGGAGCAAACAGG
Molecule: ribosomal RNA, 253 nt
Filed under: uncultured bacterium
Lineage: Bacteria
Description: partial 16S ribosomal RNA
Rfam family: Bacterial small subunit ribosomal RNA
Source: RNAcentral